CAUGCAGUCGAGCGCGGGAAGCGAGCUGAUCCCUUCGGGGUGACGCUCGUGGAACGAGCGGCGGACGGGUGAGUAACACGUGGGCAACCUGCCUGUAAGAUCGGGAUAACUCCGGGAAACCGGGGCUAAUACCGGGUAAUACUUUCUUUCGCAUGAAGGAAAGUUGAAAGAUGGCUUCUCGCUAUCACUUACAGAUGGGCCCGCGGCGCAUUAGCUAGUUGGUGAGGUAACGGCUCACCAAGGCGACGAUGCGUAGCCGACCUGAGAGGGUGAUCGGCCACACUGGGACUGAGACACGGCCCAGACUCCUACGGGAGGCAGCAGUAGGGAAUCUUCCGCAAUGGACGAAAGUCUGACGGAGCAACGCCGCGUGAACGAUGAAGGUCUUCGGAUCGUAAAGUUCUGUUGUUAGGGAAGAACAAGUACCGUGCGAAUAGAGCGGUACCUUGACGGUACCUAACGAGGAAGCCCCGGCUAACUACGUGCCAGCAGCCGCGGUAAUACGUAGGGGGCAAGCGUUGUCCGGAAUUAUUGGGCGUAAAGCGCGCGCAGGCGGUUCCUUAAGUCUGAUGUGAAAGCCCACGGCUCAACCGUGGAGGGUCAUUGGAAACUGGGGAACUUGAGGACAGAAGAGGAGAGUGGAAUUCCACGUGUAGCGGUGAAAUGCGUAGAUAUGUGGAGGAACACCAGUGGCGAAGGCGACUCUCUGGUCUGUUUCUGACGCUGAGGUGCGAAAGCGUGGGUAGCAAACAGGAUUAGAUACCCUGGUAGUCCACGCCGUAAACGAUGAGUGCUAGGUGUUAGGGGGCUUCCACCCCUUAGUGCUGAAGUUAACGCAUUAAGCACUCCGCCUGGGGAGUACGGCCGCAA
Molecule: ribosomal RNA, 870 nt
Filed under: Halobacillus sp.
Lineage: Bacteria; Bacillati; Bacillota; Bacilli; Caryophanales; Bacillaceae
Description: bacterial SSU rRNA
Rfam family: Bacterial small subunit ribosomal RNA
Source: RNAcentral